RNAcentral lists this ribosomal RNA (460 nucleotides) under uncultured bacterium. RNAcentral describes it as "partial 16S ribosomal RNA". It matches the Rfam family "Bacterial small subunit ribosomal RNA", at positions 338 to 795 of the family's 1533-position model. The record is from RNAcentral.
CCUACGGGAGGCAGCAGUGAGGAAUAUUGGUCAAUGGCCGGAAGGCUGAACCAGCCAUGCCGCGUGAAGGUCAGUGCCCUAUGGGCGUUAAACUUCUUUUGUGCGGGAGCAAUAAUGGUCACGUGUGGCCAGACGAGAGUACCGUACGAAUAAGCAUCGGCUAACUCCGUGCCAGCAGCCGCGGUAAUACGGGGGAUGCAAGCGUUAUCCGGAUUUAUUGGGUUUAAAGGGUGCGUAGGCUGUGAGGUAAGUCAGCGGUGAAAUGCCCCCGCUCAACGGGGUGAAGUGCCAUUGAUACUGCCUGGCUGGAAUGCGGAUGACGUGGGAGGAAUGUGUGGUGUAGCGGUGAAAUGCAUAGAUAUCACACAGAACACCGAUUGCGAAGGCAUCUCACGAAUCCGCGAUUGACGCUGAUGCACGAAAGCGUGGGUAUCAAACAGGAUUAGAUACCCCAGUAGUC